Molecule: unclassified non-coding RNA, 1513 nt
Filed under: Hevea brasiliensis (rubber tree)
Lineage: Eukaryota; Viridiplantae; Streptophyta; Magnoliopsida; Malpighiales; Euphorbiaceae
Source: RNAcentral
GGAACUUGAACAAUUGCUUGUGGCGGAGAGAAUUUGUCGCCAUUUUUGCUUACUGUUGUUCAGAUAGCAGUUACAAGUGGAGUGACUUCAAUGAGCCCCAGUUCUGUGAAUCUCACGUUUGUAUGCUUUUGUUGUCUCACUGAUUGAUUAUUUUUUAUGUUUUUGAGGCAGGAGCUUAAUUAUUGUAGACUUGCAUAGGUCAUGUGAUGGGCACUUAUCAAUUCUUUUUAUAAUUGAGUUUCCAACUAGUUAGGCUUUUAGUAUACAUGUUUUUCAUUAUCAAGUGCAUCGCAUAUUCAAUAAAGGUUGCACUUCAUGUUUCUUAUGUGCCUAUGCAUCUACAAGUCGUAUGCAUUGCUGGGGAACUUGUCAAAUUCAUCUUGUAGUUAUUUUUAAUAUAUUGUGCAGCCAAGAUCUCCUAUAUCAGUUAUGGAAAUUAUUUUUGAUGUAGACAAAACCAAUCAUGAAAAGAAUUUGAGACUUCUUUUAAAUUUUGUCAAUUUGCAUUUGCAUACAUUAUUUUUGAAUCUAAUUGUAUCUCUUCAGAUGCUGCAAACUGGUAAUUGAUGGCUUGUUUCUCUAUGUUGGAGAUAGAAAGACGAUGAAUUGCAGCUAAUUAUGGACAUCAGUAAUGCUUUUUCUGUAUCUCUAGUAGCCUGGUGUUUGAUAAAGGAAAUUACGUAUUCCAAGAGCUCUGCAUCACAUGGCAAUUUGUUAAGGUACUUCAAAGGGAGUAAAAAUCGUUUCCGAUCGGCAGUGUAAACAACAAAGUGGCCCUUCUCAGCUAUUUCCAGUGUGCUGUAACUGCUCAUGGGUUGUGACUGUGUGAUUCUUUUUAGCUUUAAAGCAGCUAGCUUCUUCCAUUUUUGUGCCAAGUUGAGAAGUCUCGUGGUGCUGAUCACCCUGCUACUAAAGGGAAGAAUCCAGAGGGAAAUUGUAAAGUAGGAAAGGUUGAAGAACUUCAGAAUUCAAUGUUGCAAAUUUUUUAUCUUUUGAUGGGUUGAGGGCAAAGGAAAUGACUUGAAUAUAUAUACACAGACCAAAGUAACAUUCAUGGAGGACCAAAACCAUGUGAUUAGUGGAUAUGAGGGUUUGUUUGGUCGGCGGGCAUGUCAGGUCACUCUGAUGGAGGUCCAAAACCAAGUGAUUAGGGGAUAUGGCUUGUUUGGGAUAUGUCUCUGUCGGCUUAUGUUCAAAAAUUAACCUAUCAAGUUCAGAUGAAUUUGAAUCUACUUUCGGAGGAAUUGGUGUUAGCUUGUAGAGUUGUGCAAGUUCGGUUUUGUAGUCAAGACAUAUAUGGUGAAGGAGAAGACCAUGCAAAUUGGACCCAUUCUGUCCAAGAACAGCCAACAACACAUAAGGAAACGUUUCCAGCUACAUGUCUGUUUCUAUUAUUAAGGUCUCCCGCAGGUCUCCUUUUUAGACCAUAUAUUUCAGCAUUUAAAAUUAGAACAAUUGUAAUCAAACUUUAAAAUUUAUAUUAGCAAAAUGUCAUCACAACAAAAUGCAUAUA